Cydia fagiglandana is the source of this 1358-nucleotide long non-coding RNA. RefSeq lists it as uncharacterized. Lineage: Eukaryota; Metazoa; Arthropoda; Insecta; Lepidoptera; Tortricidae. The record is from RefSeq and is a predicted model, not a curated record. The transcript has 2 exons.
GCGCAGCGUGCGACGCGGCGAGCUGCAGUACGCGAUACACGGCCGUCGUGAACGCUGCUCGCACUGUUAGUGCUUGAGAAAGGAGACCUAGGCUCUCCGAAACAUGUCGCGCGAGUGACUAAAAACAAUGAGUCUAAACCGUUAAAAUUAUUCAAUGUUAGUAUAUCUCACAACAGCUUAAAUUCGAUUGUCGUGACUUAUUUUUCAAAAGUUAUUUUCAAUAAAAAGACACGUCAAGAUUGUUUACCUUUCUUCUAAUCCUAAAAAAAUAGAUAGGUAUAGCAAUACGCUAUAUACAUUGUAAACGAUAUUUUAGUACUUGGGAUUGGGAUGUAGAAACAGAAACUAUUUUAAUAUUAAAUACAUCACGCUUAUCAAGAUUAGUUAUAAUCUUAUCCUAAUGAGAAUGUCGUACUACGUCUACUUCUUUGUAAAAUGAAAUAUAUUAUUGCAACAUUAUUUAAAUGUUCCUAAAAACAUGAGAUGAAAUAAUUACAAUUAUAGGUACCUACAGAAGUGCAUAAUUGUUUUCCGUCGUAUUUUCUCGGAAACGUUCGCAUUAGUCAUGCUACUUCAGUCAACGUCAGUACUUUUUGUAUCGAGACUGACUGAAAUAGCAAGAAGUUUUCGUACGUUUUCGUGAAAAUACGAUGAAAAAUAAUUAAAUGCACUACAUCUGUACGUCAUGUUGAGAUUUAUAAGGGCCAGUUGCACCAACCACAGUUAGCAGACUGAUCAACGUCACGCAGCAGAGAUCUAUGAAACUUCCCAUACAAUAUUUAGCGAAUGCUUUAACGGUGACAGACGGUUUGGUCCACCCGACCCUAAGUAUUUAUAACAGAGAGCUCCUGAAUAUAACCAGGGGUACGAUACCACAAGUAUAUUCAAAAUUCGAAGACAAUAAUUAGCGCACCGCGGCCAAAACAAAUGAAGUACUAUUAUUAUCAGGGACGGUAAUUUUACGUACCUAGAUUCAGACUUGUAUUACUCUGCACCCACUCGGCAGGCGAUAGAAAGUGGUAGUGCCACCAAAAACGUCAGAUUGCUAUGAAAAUAUGACGUUUCAGUGGCACUACUACAAUUUGUCGCUGUAAAGUUAUUAAUAGCCAUCUGGGUGACACAUCUGAUUGGUUGACGUGCCGUCGCCGUGGUACACACGGUAGUAGCCUUGCUCGCCCCACGACGUGCCCCAAGAGCUCACUAUCCAGUACCGCAGAGUUAAUGUAUAAAAGGUUAGAUGACGGCGCUGCUCGCCAUCUGGUUGACGCCACACGUGCCGUCGCCGCGGUACACACGGUAGUAGCCUUGCUCGCCCCACAACUUGCCCCAAGAGCUCACUAUCCAGUACCGCAGAGUUA